Molecule: long non-coding RNA, 290 nt
Organism: Poecilia latipinna (sailfin molly)
Lineage: Eukaryota; Metazoa; Chordata; Actinopteri; Cyprinodontiformes; Poeciliidae
Exons: 3
Source: RefSeq, a predicted model, not a curated record
CUGUCCUCUCCGCUUGCCGGAUUUUGAUGGUGUUGUCUGGCAAGAAGCGGACAGAAGAGGCUGAAAAUCUUCACCACACCACUUAAGAUAACCCAAGGCUGUUUGACGUUGGAGUGUGAAAUCGCACACUUCAGCUCAGGAGUAUAAAGGAGGAGGAGGAGACCAGGGUUCAGAGACGCUUUGCUUUGACAUGUUAUUGCUCUUGCGUGGCGAAAAGAGGAUUAUUUCCUCAAUGAAUCAUUUGCUUCUGGAAUAAGUGUAUCUGCAGGCAGAAUCAACAUUAAGAAGCU